GCUUAUUUUAUCCAGGAGUUCUAGGUAAGACCACUUUUUCAAAUAUCCUCUGAACGUUGACUUAGGUGCACACACCUGUGCUUCCAUUGGCAACAAAAGCUUUGAAUGCACAGGACUUCCACGGCAUGAAAUGCAUUUACAUACAUUACAUAAGAGAGAAGCAAUGAGCAAGUCUGUUGCUGGGAGAGGCUCACAUCCUUCUCACCAAAUCAAUCUGUAACUUUCAAAUAGCUCUGCUGUAUUUCCUAGCAACAGGAGUAAACACUGUACUACAUCCAGUGCCCAAGAUUUGUAACCACGUUAAUCUGUUAGAAGCCUAGAUGUGUGACUGGAGAUGCCUCCUGUCCAUUCAAUCUGACUCCAAUGUGGUUCUGCAGCACUGGACAAAGAUGGGAGAUUGAAACAGGAGCCCCUGCGAUGGGGGAACAGAGCCAGGGAGCAGGGGUUGGACAGAACCCAGGUUUGAGAAAACAACCUUGUGAACCUUCUAUUGGAGCAGCAAUAAAGAUCUGAGCUAAGUGUCGAGGGAGGCUGAGGAGGUGGUCACUAAGUCUGUCUUAGGCAUCCCAGGGUCUCCUCAGAGUCCAAGCCUGAAGUCCACUGCAGGGGUCACCAGCCACCUGUGGCCACAUUGGAAUGUGGCCAUUCUGAAUUGAGGUAAGUAAAAAACAUACACCAAAUUUCAAAGAUGUAAUAUGGGAAAAAAAGAAUGUAAGGUACUUGGUUAAUGAUUUUUUAUAUGGAUUACAUAUGGAAAUGCUACCAUUUUGGCUAUAUUGGGUAAGAUAUAUUAUUAAAAUUGAUGUCACCUGUUCCCUUUUACUUUUUUAAGCGCGCCUGCUAUAAAAUAUGAAAUUGCCUGCAUGGCUCCCAUUCAUGGAUCCUAUUACAUUUCUAUCUGCCAGUGUAGGUUGGUGCAGUCACAAGACAAUGCUUCAGGAGAAAAUCUGGGGAGGCGGUCUCAGGGCAAGAGGGUGAGUGGGGGAAAUGCCUAUGGAAUGAGAAAGAGACAACAGGGGGACCGACCCAUCAAGGGCUACAAAGAAGGUGAAUUUGCUUUCUGAGUUGUGCUUGCCUGCCGGACUCAUUUGCAGCAAGAGAGACCAGAAUAUAAAGGCCACGAUAAUAACAUCUCAAAUAAAUUAGAAGCAGCUUGUGGUUUAUAGUGAGCAAUGCUCUACUGGGGACCAGACCAAGCAGUUACCCCUGUCUUCACUCCAUCUGUGGUUAAGUCAUUUGGUCACUGUUGCCUUCUCAUCUGCAAAGCGGGGACUGAGAUUAACUGCUUGGCCUGCAUAUCCCCCUGACUCUGUCAACUAAGUUUUCGGAAACCUGAAGCACUCUAAACAUCCUGGGGGAAGAAAGGGCUGGAGAAACAUACAAUGUUUUGUGAUCAGAGUUUUUAAGCUGAAAAGAAUGAAGAAACUUGAAUAGAAUAAAUUCUUGAUACUUCCUUUUUCAUAACACUUACCACGCUUUAUUUCGAUUAUUUAUUAGCCCCCUUCCUAGCUAGAUAUAAGCUAGCUAUAAAUACCAUGAGCUCAGGACCCACAUCUGUCUGCUCACUGCUGUGACCGCAACUUAGAGGACAGAGCCCAGAAUACAGGCCUCAAUAAAUACUGUGGAAGAGGGGUCACAUGGAGAAUUUGCAGUCAUUUUUGCUGUUGAGCAUCUGUUAAGUUAAAGUUUCCAAGUGUGCAAACUGUACUCGGAAAUGAGUAAGAAGUAGAAACUUACCUAGAGAUGAUCAAACCAGUAGUGCUGUCACUCUAAUGAUGUUAUCUGUCCCACUGUGAAAACAUUGUCACAGGUGAAGGAGGAGAGUGAGGUGAGACCUUCCCAGCCCUUGACUGCUCUUGCACUGGACACAUUCCAGGAAGCUCUUGUGGCAGAAGCAGCCACUUAACUUACUUUUAACAAGAGAAGCUGAAGGCUGAGGGAAGUCAGGACCAACAGAGGAUCCAAAUUUCAGUGGCACAAGUCUUAAGCUUCAUUUGGUUGCAUGAAUGAGUGCGGAAGCAGCAUGAAGUAGUGGUGAUACAAACCUGGGUUCUGUGUUUAAUUCUAUUCUCAGUACUUUCCCAGUGGGAGACUGUGAGUUCCCUCUCUGAACCUCGUUCUCCUCCAUGGCUUAAAACUGGACUCAUAAUGCAUGGCUUAGCUAUAAUGUACCUUUCAAAAAGGGCUGGCAUCCGGUAAACACUGAAUAAAUGGUUACAUGUCAAACACAGUAAACAUUCAACAAUGGCUAAUAUCUUCCUUCUGCAUCAGCUUUUAAAACAGAUUUUUUAACCUGGAGUCCAAGGAGUCCCAGGAAAUCCACAGACGAGAUUCAAUGGAUCCUUGAAAUCCCUAAAAUUAAAUACAAAGCGGGGUAUGUGUGGACAUCUUUUCUCUUCAAGGAAAGAAUCCAUAGCUUUCAUAUGAUGCUCUUAAGACUCUCAGACUGAAAACAGUUUAAGAACUAUUGAGUUUCUGUGGCUUCCAAAGUGUUUAGCUCCUUCUAUUUAUCUAUGGAAUAGCUCUGUGAAUGACUCUCAAAACCAAGCUUUUCUGUGCCUCCUCAAGAGGCCUGCAUUUUAUAUGCAGCAGUACAACUUCCUUCCAUAAGACGCUUUUAUUUUCUGGCAGCAGCAGUAUCACAGGAAGAUGACUGGAAUUUAUAAGUAAGAAACUGAUCUUAAUUUCAACAAUAGUACUGGAGCCCUUACCUCUUUAAAUACACCUUUUUCCAUAGUUUUUUUUUUUAUAGGAUUGAUGACCAAAGAAGGCAGCUAUAAUGUUUUAUUCUCAAGAUGAUGGUUACUCAUCUUAGAAUAAAAACAACAACAACAAAAAAUAACAGAUGAAUGGGAAGAGCCCAAUCAAAGCUUUAUUCUACUCCUCAACAACUCAGGUGAGUGUCUGGCCACUUGGCAGUCGCCAGGAGGAAGGAGCUUAGUGGCAGACAAACUGCUUCAAAUCUCUAAAUCUUUGUUUCCUCAUCUGUUAAAAAAAAAAAAAAAAAAAAAAGAUGAUAACAGUGACGCCUCCUACCUAGGGCUGCUGUGAGAACUAAAUAAGAAAGUAAUUGUAAGGCAUCUUUUAAGUACUCAAAACAGAGUGCCUCAUAAAUAUUAAUUAUUAAAUAUCCUCUCUGAUGAUAGGGGGAAAAGGAUUCCUUAUCUGGUCUCUGACCCAUAGAUUUUAGCCUGGAGAUUUACUCUGGGUCACUGAUAUUUUCCAGCCUCCUCCUUAAGGUUGUUAUUAGUGACCAAGUAAUAAGUAAGUAUAUAAACCAUUGAGAAAACUGUUGAAAAAGUGUCUGAGCAGCAGCUUCAAAGAGAAUCUGUCUUCAUGUCCCAGUAUCCUAAGAGGCAAAUGUGAAAAUCAAUUUAAAGGAAAUAGAAUAUACCUAAAGAAAGUCACCUGAAAAAAUGAAAGAUGAAUGAUUCAACACACAUUUUUCUCUCAUUUAUUUAAAAAUUUUUGAGAUACAUGGUGGGCAAGGCACUGUACUGAGCACAGGAUGUGCAAAGAUAAGGAAGUAAGUCCAGCUCUCAAGACAUUUAGUCUACAGAGGGAGACACACAUGUAUAUCCAACGCCAUACGUACCACAGGAUAAAGUGUGAUGUGGGGAGAGGCUGGGAGGGGAUGUUCAGCAGGGGCUUCUUGAAAAAGCAACACUUGAGAUGAGUUUGGAAGGAUAAGUAAAUGUUUAAUAGUUCAUAGUUUGAGAAAGAAGAAACAAUAUUCCACAGAGACAACAGCCCAUGUAAAAGCACAUGCAAUGAAGCAUUUAAGCAUGGGGAUAAUAUGGGCAGCUAGAAGAAGGCGUUGCUGAACAUACCAGCACCUACCCAUCCCCUGCACCCACAGGAGGAGGCAGGACUCACCUCAGAGAGAAUCUUGGAAUUCAUGGUAGGAGCCUGUACUUUUCUCCAGGACUAUGACAAGGUUUGGAAUGGUUCUUAGCAGGGAGUUAUAUAAUUCAAUUUUAUCUAUUCUUUAGAAAGAGCAAGCAGGCAGCGGUGAGGAGGAUGGAUUGAAAGCUGAGAGACUGAAGGCAGCAUUUGUAGAGGUGACUUGGGAAGAGUGAAACAUGAAAGGAAGUGGAGCAGGAGGUCUUGGUGACUGAUUAGGUGGAGGAAGAAAGGGAGAAGGUCAGAUCGAGAUCAUUCCCAGGUCUCUGGCUUGGAGGUGUAGUGAGAGGAUGAUAUGCCUGUCAGGGAAAACAGGUGUUAUAGUAUUUAAUAGAUAUCUGCUGUUUCUGCACGCACAGCAUCUCCUAUCUCUUCUUUUCAAUAUUUCCUUUUAAAAACUACCCCUUCCCUGCUCUCAGGUUAUAUGGUUUAGAAGAGUUUUGCUGACUAGUCUCCCAUGUACUUCCUUCACUCCCAUACACUCCUUCCCACCUGCCGUCACACAUACCACUCUCCCCUUCCAAAAGCCUCCAGGACUGGGCUCAUAAUCAAAGCUGAGUCAAGUGGCAUGGUCCAAAUCUCCGGCCAUAGGGUCUGGUUCAAGCAUAUGCAUGUGAUCAAAGUGGUCUAAUUAAAGUUAAUCCUGAAUUCUCUUUUUCUCAGGAGUUAAGCCUAAAGCUGCAGAUGAAAAUUUUGCCACCAUGAAGAAAAGAAGAAAUCAGAAUUGGAUUCUUUCUGAACUUUUCCUUUACAGUAGCCAGUAUAUGCCCUUUCCUACUUGAGCAAGUAUAAACUGGGUUUCUGUGAUUUGCAACCAAGUGUCCUGACAAACACAAGGAUGAAAGACAACUGUGUCUCAAUAAAGGAAAAAUAGUUUAUUUUUAUGAGUGGUGGAUUUAAAAAACCUACAUUACUGUGACAAGAGUACCUUAAAACAUUUAAGUCUACAAAAGGCACUUAGGGACUUUAUAGCAAACUCUACACUUAUAAUGAAAAGCCAGACCAGAUCAUUUUAAAAAAACGUUACUGCACGAGAUAAUGGCACAUCCACUCGUUCAAUUAACAUUUAUUGAGUGUCUUCAGGGGUUUUAGACUUGUGCAAUAAAAAUGAUAAAAACGUAUUCUUUGGUUUGAGCUGGUCCAUCCAAGGUCGUUCCAUAAAGAGCAGCUGUGUAUGCUGUUCAGACUAAUUGUGUGAAGCUGGAGAGGCCAGGUGUUUCUGUCUGGCCCAGCAGCUGCACUUUGCGGUAAGGGCACCACCUGAAUUUCAGUCUGGCCAUAAAAUGAGGCUGAAGAAACAGCACCUUGCAUGAGCUUUUAGGUGAAAGGCAGAACAG
RNAcentral lists this long non-coding RNA (5240 nucleotides) under Homo sapiens (human). Its description in RNAcentral is "HSALNT0093612". Lineage: Eukaryota; Metazoa; Chordata; Mammalia; Primates; Hominidae. The record is from RNAcentral.